This is a long non-coding RNA of Lycium barbarum (goji berry), 440 nucleotides long. RefSeq lists it as uncharacterized. The record is from RefSeq and is a predicted model, not a curated record. The transcript has 2 exons. NCBI's taxonomy places the organism in Eukaryota, Viridiplantae, Streptophyta, Magnoliopsida, Solanales, Solanaceae.
GGUAUUCGUUGGCGUAUUUGUAGACCUUGGGGAGCCCGAGGCGUAGAUUGGAAAUUUACUUUAGAUUGGCUAUUUUGGAAGUGCGUAAGAGGUACAGACGCACAGCCUGGUGAUCCACCUGUUUAGGACACCCUUUCUGCUAUUCGGAGUGCUCCUCUCUUUCCGGAGCUUAUACUUUUGGUAUAUAUAUUUUUAUUAGUGCAUUUGUAUAUAUUCGUUCAUGGGUACGGCGGGGGCCCUGUCCCGUCAUAUGAUUCUGUCGGUCUGUUUAGAGGUCUGUGGACAUGUUUGUGGGUUAGGGUCUUUCUGUAUGGAUGUAUGUACAUGUCGUUUGGGCGAUCCCAUACGCCGAGGCGGCCGGUCCGCAUAUGUUGUUUGGGCGAUCCUAUACGCCGAGGCGGCCGGUCCGCAUAUGUUUAUAUAUUGCUUGGUUAGCCCUG